This is a long non-coding RNA of Adelges cooleyi (spruce gall adelgid), 315 nucleotides long. RefSeq lists it as uncharacterized. NCBI's taxonomy places the organism in Eukaryota, Metazoa, Arthropoda, Insecta, Hemiptera, Adelgidae. The transcript is spliced from 3 exons. The record is from RefSeq and is a predicted model, not a curated record.
CGACGACUCACUAAGUCAGUAUGUUUUGUCACAACAGUAUUGUCAGUGGACCUUGUGUGUGCGGUCGGUUCUAUUUCACACAGCUGAAUAACCUAAGCGUCGAAAGAGUCUCGUCAAGAAUUCUCCCAUUUCAUUCAAGUCAAGUCGACAAUAUUCUUACUGAAUCAUUUAUUCAAACACUGCCGCUAGAGCUACCUACAAAACAAAUUAUUAAAAAUACAGAUGCAAAUGGAUGCAAACCAAAUUUUGGGAUCUGGUACUGAAGAACAAGUACUAUAUUGUAUGUAUAUUGAAUAACGGUUAUUAUGGGUUAUU